AGCAGCCGCCGCGGUAAUACGGAGGGAGCUAGCGUUGUUCGGAAUUACUGGGCGUAAAGCGCACGUAGGCGGUUAUUCAAGUCAGAGGUGAAAGCCCGGGGCUCAACCCCGGAACUGCCUUCGAAACUAGAUGACUGGAAUCUUGGAGAGGUCAGUGGAAUUCCGAGUGUAGAGGUGAAAUUCGUAGAUAUUCGGAAGAACACCAGUGGCGAAGGCGACUGACUGGACAAGUAUUGGCGCUGAGGUGCGAAAGCGUGGGGAGCAAACAGGAUUAGAUACCCCCGUAGUCCCUGUCUCUUAUAC
This 303-nucleotide ribosomal RNA is filed under the name uncultured bacterium. RNAcentral describes it as "partial 16S ribosomal RNA". It matches the Rfam family "Bacterial small subunit ribosomal RNA", at positions 507 to 807 of the family's 1533-position model. The record is from RNAcentral.